RNAcentral lists this long non-coding RNA (2055 nucleotides) under Phaseolus vulgaris (common bean). RNAcentral describes it as "long non-coding RNA (PVUL_LNC001585)". The record is from RNAcentral. Lineage: Eukaryota; Viridiplantae; Streptophyta; Magnoliopsida; Fabales; Fabaceae.
UGGAUAGCCUCCCUCCUUCACGUCCUAGACGCUCACCUUCACGUCCUAGACGCUCACUUUCACGUCCUAGACGCUCUCCGUGGUCUUGGUCUUGGUCUAGACGCUCUCCUUGGCUUGUGCCUUGGCUUCCUUGGGUAGGUGUGCUUGGCCCUCCUCCAUCAUCCCCUCCCCCUUGGAAAGGAUUUGUCCUCAAAUCCAGCUCGUCACUGUCAUUGGUACCUACAAAUGGAGAAAGAUCAAUUACAUUAAAAGUGUCAUGUACUCCAUAUUCAAGAGGUAGGUCCAACUUAUAUGCAUUGUUGUUGACUCGCUUGAGAACUUGAAAAGGUCCAUCACCUCGGGGACUUAGUUUGGACUUCCUUUGAUUUGGAAAUCUAUCUUUUCGAAGAUGAAGCCAAACUAAGUCUCCUUCCUCAAAAAUUAUUUCUCUCUUCCCUUUGUUGUUGUAUUUUGUGUACUUCUCAUUUUGUUGUUGUAUUUGGAUUUUAAUCUUCUCAUGCAUUUUCUUGACAAAAUCAGCUUUGAUUACUCCUUCCUUAUGCACAAAAUCUUGUGGAUUAGGAAGGGGUAUUAAAUCCAUAGGCGUGAGAGGAUUAAAACCAUAUACGACCUCAAAAGGAGAAGCAUUAGUAGUUUUGUGAACUACUCUAUUGUAAGCAAAUUCAAUGUGGGGAAGGUACUCAUCCCAAGAUUUGUGGCUUCCCUUCAUGAUAGCCCUAAGCAUAGUUCCAAGAGAUCUAUUGACUACUUCGGUUUGACCAUCCGUUUGAGGAUGACAAGAAGUUGAAAAUUGUAGUCUUGUUCCAAGUUUACCCCAAAGAGUUUUCCAAAAGUGGCUUAUAAACUUGGGAUCUCUAUCGGACACUAUACUUCGAGGGAGACCAUGGAGUCUCACCACUUCUCUAAAGAAGAGUUUAGAAAUAUUUUGAGCAUCAUCUACUUUGUGGCAUGGAAUAAAGUGGGACAUUUUGCUAAAACGGUCCACUACCACAAAAAUAGAGUCAUGGCCUCUUGCAGUCCUAGGAAGUCCUAAAAUGAAAUCCAUGCUAAUGUCUUCCCAAGGAGCAUUUGCAAUCGGCAAAGGGGUGUAGAGUCCGUGCGGCAUUGUUCUAGACUUUGCUUUUAAACAUGAGAUACAUCUAGAACAAUGUCGUUGGACAUCUUUCCUCAUGUGUGGCCAACAAAAUUUUGCUUUUAAAAGAUCUAGAGUCUUAUCAACUCCAAAAUGGCCCAUGAGUCCCCCUUCAUGUGAUUCUUUGACAAGGAGCUUUCUAUGUGUUCCUUGGGGAAUGCAAAGUUUUCCUUCUUUAAAAAGAUAUCCCUCGGAGACAUAGUAACCUCCUUGUGCUCUAUGUAGACAUUGAGCAUAGAUGGAUGAAAGUUCUUGGUCUUCUUGGUAAAGCUCUUUUAUGUGGUCAAAUCCAAGAAUUUGGGCACCUAGUUUUGAAAAGAGUGUGUGCCGUCUUGAAAGAGCAUCGACCACUAUAUUGGUGCUUCCUUUCUUGUAUUUGAUUACAUAAGGAAAUUGUUCAAGAAAUUCCAUCCAUUUAGCAUGUCUCUUGUUGAGCUUGUGUUGGCCCUUUAAAUAUUUUAAAGACUCGUGAUCACUAUGGAUAACAAAUUCUUUGGACACAAGGUAGUGUUCCCAAGUCUUUAGGGCUCGCACAAGAGCAUAGAGCUCUUUGUCAUAGGUGGGGUAGUGGAGGGUGGCACCAUGGAGUUUUUCACUAAAAUAAGCAAUGGGGUGUCCACCUUGCAACAAAACCGCACCUAUGCCUACUCCCGAUGAAUCACACUCUAUCUCAAAAGUUUUGGAAAAAUUUGGAAGAGAUAGAAUGGGUGCAUUGGUGAGUUGAGCUUUGAGCCUUUGAAAGGCUUGCUCAUGCUUUUCAUUCCAACAAAAUGCAACAUCUUUUUUCACAAGUUCAUUCAAAGGAGAAGCUAGACUAGAAAAAUUAGGUACAAACCUUCUAUAGAAGCUAGCUAACCCAUGAAAACUUCUUACAUCACUUACAUUUUGUGGAGUUGGCCACUCGCGGAUGGCUUUGAUUUUCU